AGCGCUGCGUACAUAAGUAGCGCUUUAUAAAUAAAGAUAUACAUACAUACUGAUGAUGAGUCCCUUCCGGAUAGGUUGAAAAAAUUUUAUGCUAGGUUUGAUGUACAAAUUAAUACUCCCAACAAGAAGGAUCUCCCUUCCUUCAAACAGCCAGAUGCUUUAUCUGACUGUGGACGUGGUACGGCGAAGUUUCUCGAAAAGCUGCUGGUCCUGAUCAGAUUUCUGUGACAUGUUUGAAUGACUAUUGACCUAUUGCACUCACACCGAUAGUCAUGAAAUGCUUUGAGAGAAUUGUCAUACCACACAUUAAAAAUAUGCUAUGUUAGGAUGGUGUUUAUUGAUUUUAGUUCUGCUUUCAAUAAUUUUAUUCCACAAAAGAUUGUGGAUUUUAGAAAGAUUCCUUUUACCCAUAAAGCUCUCUUUAUAAAUGGCUCCAUUGUUCAGAAUGUCAGUAACUUUACAUUUCUUGGUUCAGAUCUCAAACAAUCUCAUUUGGGCUCAACAAUGGCUUUUCUUUUUGUGAACAUUGAGGAAAGUAAAUCUUACCGCCUCUAUACUUUUUUUUUUUUUUAUCGAGGGGUUAUAGAGAGCGUAUUGACAAAUUCUGUUACUGUGUGGUACGGUAAUUGUGGUGCUGUUUAUCAAUUAAUUUGCUUGUGUAUAUUUUUGUAUGCAGAUGUGAUGACAAUAAAGCUUGACUUGA
Long non-coding RNA from Xenopus tropicalis (tropical clawed frog), 703 nucleotides. RefSeq lists it as uncharacterized. The transcript is spliced from 2 exons. The record is from RefSeq and is a predicted model, not a curated record. NCBI's taxonomy places the organism in Eukaryota, Metazoa, Chordata, Amphibia, Anura, Pipidae.